This is a long non-coding RNA of Polypterus senegalus (gray bichir), 647 nucleotides long. RefSeq lists it as uncharacterized. Lineage: Eukaryota; Metazoa; Chordata; Cladistia; Polypteriformes; Polypteridae. The record is from RefSeq and is a predicted model, not a curated record. The transcript is spliced from 3 exons.
UGGAUUAUGUCUUCUAAUAAUAUAGUAUCUAAUAAAAAAGAGCCAUGUUUUCAUUUACCUAUUUUUAUCAGUUCAUUUUCUAUCUAAUUUUUGUAUCCUCCAAACGGCCUUGGUUUAUUUACUGAAUAGGAUGGGAAGACUUAGGACAUUAAAGAGACAAUAUUCUGAAACAGUAAAUACAGAAACGAAGGAAGCAUGCCAUUCAAUUCAAGACCAGUUAUGGGAAAUUCUGCCUCAUCCCGAUGACGCCACUUCCAGUUCCAGCCCUGAUGAUGUAUCUUCUGGUUCCCGGCCCCGAUGACAUCACUUGCGUUUUCAACUCUGCAGAUCUCACUUCCUAUGCCUCACCAUAAAACUGCCUUUUUGAUUCAUCCAGUCAGUUCUGUUUUGGACUCUAAUCUGUAAACAACUCGAAUUUAAUUGCCUACUUUGCAACCUGAUUUCAAGCAUACGGGUGGCAGCCCCAAACCUUUUCUGUGGCAUUUCUGUAUUUAUUUGACAAUACCAAAACCAACCACACAACUGUUUUCCGUAACCCCUUACUUAUCUUACUGCCCAUAUUGUACCCUGUAUAUUAAGCCCAUGGGACCGCUAUGGUGCUUGAGCUGUCUUUACUUCCAGUCCUACUUCAUCCCAAUUUACUUCCA